This 689-nucleotide long non-coding RNA is filed under the name Mytilus galloprovincialis (Mediterranean mussel). Lineage: Eukaryota; Metazoa; Mollusca; Bivalvia; Mytilida; Mytilidae. The record is from RNAcentral.
AUCUUAUCAUAUAUAACAGUAAGUAUUACAAUGUACAUUACAAAUGUUUGCCAAAAAAUAUUAUAUCUGACACCGUUAUAUACAAAUAGAAUCUGAUGUUUAAAUUUGUAGCACUUAUCAUCAAUGGCGGAUCUAUGGGUUUGAAGAAAGAGAGGUAGAUGCUCAUCGAAAAAGAAAAAGUCGUGACAGCUGUUCACAAUACAAGUUUUUAAAAUCAUUAUUUUAUUAACAUAAACAUUCAAAAUCAUUAUAGUAAAGUCAAAUCAUAUCACAUAUAUGUAGCUAUAUUUGUAAAAACUGAUAUAUGACAUGUGUUAUGCACCAAUCGUUCGAAAUAUUUAUGAUAUCAAGUAAAACAAUGAUAAGCCAGCAGUUAUAAAAGUUAAAUGAAAAAAGGAAAAUUAAAUACAGUCACCCCCAAUUUUCUUAGAAAAAUGCAUGUAUCUAGUCAUGAAUAUGAUACUUGUUUUCAAUUCAAUUUCGUUAAAUUGUUCAUACAUUCUAACCUUGAUUUUGUCUUUGUUUAUGGACUUCCUCCUUUUUGAAUAUAGCUUAUGAAUGCGUUAUCAUUUUUUGUAAAUUCCGUUUUUUUAUACAUCUAAACUUAGUUACGCCCCUUUGCAUUCUCUCCCCCCCUUUUUUUUUUGUAUUCAAAGCAUUGAACAAAUAUUUAUUUUAUCGUCUUCCUA